RNAcentral lists this ribosomal RNA (238 nucleotides) under uncultured bacterium. Its description in RNAcentral is "partial 16S ribosomal RNA". It matches the Rfam family "Bacterial small subunit ribosomal RNA", at positions 15 to 263 of the family's 1533-position model. The record is from RNAcentral.
GAUCCUGCUCAGGAUGAACGCUGGCGGCGUGCAUAACACAUUCAAGUCGAACGAGGCAGCAAUGCCUAGUGGCGGACGGGUGAGUAACGCGUGAGCAACCUGCCCUUGCGUGGGGGAUACCAUCUGGAAACGGAUGUUAAUACCGCAUAAAGUACAAGCGACCGCAUGGUCGUAGUACCAAAGAUUUAUUGCGCAAGGAUGGGCUCGCGUCCCAUUAGAUAGUUGGUGAGGUGACCGG